ACUCAAAUGAAUUGACGGGGACCCGCACAAGCAGUGGAGGAUGUGGUUUAAUUCGACGCUAAGCGAAGAACCUUACCGAGGUUUGACAUCCCAGGAAAUCUAUGGAAACUAAGAUGUGCCUUCGGGAACCUGGUGACAGGUGCUGCAUGGCCGUCGUCAGCUCGUGUCGUGAGAUGUUGGGUUAAGUCCCGCAACGAGCGCAACCCUCGUCUUAAGUUACUAUGUCUUAAGAGACCGCCUGGGUUAACCAGGAGGAAGGUGGGGAUGACGUCUGGUCAGCAUGGCCCUUACACCUCGGGCCACACACGUCCUACAAUGGCCGUUACAACGCGCUAGCCAAGCCGUAAGGCGGAGCGAAUCGCAUCAAAAGCGGCCUCAGUUCGGAUUGAGGGCUGAAACUCGCCCUCAUGAAGCUGGAAUUGCUAGUAAUGGUGGAUCAGAAUGCCGCCGUGAAUACGUUCUCGGGUCUUGUACACACCGCCCGU
This 485-nucleotide ribosomal RNA is filed under the name uncultured bacterium. Its description in RNAcentral is "bacterial SSU rRNA". It matches the Rfam family "Bacterial small subunit ribosomal RNA", at positions 899 to 1397 of the family's 1533-position model. The record is from RNAcentral.